Echinops telfairi (small Madagascar hedgehog) is the source of this 119-nucleotide small nucleolar RNA. NCBI's taxonomy places the organism in Eukaryota, Metazoa, Chordata, Mammalia, Afrosoricida, Tenrecidae. The record is from Ensembl.
AUCCUCCAGAUUCCUAGCCCUCAACCUAAACCGUGGUCCGAGUGGCUUCAACAGGAGGGAAAGUCAACCUGAAAUGGACUUGGAGUCUUUAGUGACAAACAAGUUCAUUUCGAUCAAUA